UACGUAGGGGGCAAGCGUUGUCCGGAUUUAUUGGGCGUAAAGAGCGUGUAGGCGGCCAGACAGGUCAGCUGUGAAAACUCGAGGCUCAACCUCGAGACGUCGGUUGAAACCGUCUGGCUAGAGUCCGGAAGAGGAGAGUGGGAUUCCCGGUGUAGCGGUGAAAUGCGCAGAUAUCGGGAAGAACACCCGUGGCGAAGGCGGCUCUCUGGGACGGUACUGACGCUGAGACGCGAAAAGCGUGGGGAGCGAACAGG
This 254-nucleotide ribosomal RNA is filed under the name uncultured bacterium. RNAcentral describes it as "partial 16S ribosomal RNA". It matches the Rfam family "Bacterial small subunit ribosomal RNA", at positions 524 to 776 of the family's 1533-position model. The record is from RNAcentral.